GGGUGCUCUUGGCUGUCUGUCAGGAGCAUAACAACUGUCACUGGAUGUCGUGACUGGCAGAUAGACGAAAGCCCCGAAAGUUAAUUUCUUAACCAACGAGGCAAUCUGAUGAAACUCGACACUUCUGAUGUUAGCCUCUAUUUAAUUGAGAGGCAAGACGUAUGCUGCGAAG
Molecule: antisense RNA, 172 nt
Filed under: Photobacterium sp. SKA34
Lineage: Bacteria; Pseudomonadati; Pseudomonadota; Gammaproteobacteria; Vibrionales; Vibrionaceae
Description: sok antitoxin (CssrC)
Rfam family: sok antitoxin (CssrC)
About the family: Also identified in Shigella as CssrC.
Source: Rfam by way of RNAcentral